UAGCAGAGAAUCACCAACUUUUCCUUUGGUUGUUAAUGUUUCACCAUCACAGUUUAUAAAGUGGACUGUCACUUUAUCUUCUGAGCUGCUCCGCGCCCCUGCCGACACGCUCAGCGGCCGGCUCGCCUCCGCGCUCCGGCCCGGUCCCCGGCUCCUCAGCAGGCCGCUGGCUCCAGCGCGGGACCCGGCGUGGUGCAGCCACCGGCCGGCCGGGUCGCCGAGGACCGCAGAAGCGGCGCGCAGCAGCCGGGCGCCCCCAGCGGCAGCCAUCGCCCGCGGUCGGGAACUCAAAAGGAAUUAUUUAAAGAUAGUUUUAACCUUGUGACAUUUCUCAUUUGCGUUGCUGUAUACCUAGCCUAUACUAUUUGUAGAAUACUUGGCAUAAACGUACAUAUGUCAUAAGCAUUGAAGUUUUUUGUUACAUCUGGGAUUUUCUGGCUUGAGUGGGAUGUGAAUUCAUAAAUGUGAUGGUUUUGUGGGGGAACUGAGAGAACUUGGCAUAAACAGGUAUACUUACUGAUCCUCUCUGGAUAUUUAAGUGUGGUAAUUCAUUCUUAUCACUCAAUAAAGUAUAGGCAUUAUA
Molecule: long non-coding RNA, 583 nt
Filed under: Homo sapiens (human)
Lineage: Eukaryota; Metazoa; Chordata; Mammalia; Primates; Hominidae
Description: novel transcript, sense intronic to ITCH
Source: RNAcentral